Molecule: ribosomal RNA, 253 nt
Filed under: uncultured bacterium
Lineage: Bacteria
Description: partial 16S ribosomal RNA
Rfam family: Bacterial small subunit ribosomal RNA
Source: RNAcentral
UACGUAGGGUGCGAGCGUUGUCCGGAAUUAUUGGGCGUAAAGGGCUCGUAGGCGGUUUGUCGCGUCGGGAGUGAAAUCCACUGGCUUAACUGGUGGCUUGCUUUCGAUACGGGCAGACUGGAGGUAUGCAGGGGAGAACGGAAUUCCUGGUGUAGCGGUGAAAUGCGCAGAUAUCAGGAGGAACACCGGUGGCGAAGGCGAGUCUCUGGACGACACCUGACACUGAGGCACGAAAGCUAGGGGAGCAAACAGG